Cyprinus carpio (common carp) is the source of this 1794-nucleotide long non-coding RNA. NCBI's taxonomy places the organism in Eukaryota, Metazoa, Chordata, Actinopteri, Cypriniformes, Cyprinidae. The record is from Ensembl.
AUGGAGAAAAUGUUAGUAAGAACGUUAAAUUAUUUUCUGGAAAAGAAAGAAAUAUUAACACCAGUUCAGUGUGGUUUUAGGAAAAAAAGAACAACAAUGGACGCUCUUUUAUUGUUUGAAAAUGAGGUUAGGAAGGCACUAAUAAUGAAGGAGUUUCUUGUCGCAGUUUUCUUUGAUAUUGAAAAAGCGUAUGACACUCUUUGGAGGGAAGGACUGUUAAUUAAGUUAGAUAGAAUUGGUGUAGGAGGGAGAAUGUAUAACUGGAUAUUAGAUUUUUUAUUUGAACGUACAUUUCAGGUAAGAAUAGGUGAAGAAACAUCAGCAUCAUAUGAUAUCCUGAAUGGUACCCCACAAGGAAGCGUGAUUAGCCCAAUUUUAUUUAAUUUAAUGAUCAAUGAUAUAUUUGAAAAAGUUAAACCAAGCAUUGGGAAGGCGUUGUAUGCGGACGAUGGUGCUAUAUGGAAAAGAGGUAGGAAUAUAGGAAAUGUAAUUAAAGGAGUACAAGAAACUAUAAAUGAAGUUGAAAGAUGGUCAGUAGACUGGGGAAUGAAGUUUUCAGUAUCAAAAACUCAAUAUAUGGUUUUCUCAAGGAAAAAGAAAAUUGAACAGAUUACAUUGAAGUUAUAUGAUCAACUGUUAGAAAGAGUGAUAGAGUUUAAGUAUCUUGGUUUAAUCUUUGAUGAGAAGAUGACUUGGAAACAACAUAUUAAGAAAAUUGAAAAUAAAUGCAAAAGAGUAAUAAAUUGUAUGACCUCAAUAACUAAAUAUGAAUGGGGAGCAAGGAAAAGUGCAAUGUUAUGUAUAUAUCAAGCCCUAGUACGUUCUAGCAUAGAUUACGGAUGUGCAGUGUAUGGUGAUGCAGCUAAAUCUCAGUUAAAGAAACUGGAGAACAUACAAUCUAGAGCGCUUAGAAUCUGCUGUGGAGCUAUAAGAUCAACUCCUCUAGAUGCUGUCAGGGUUGAAAUGGGGGAAAUGCCAUUAGAUCUGAGAAGAGAAAAGCUUGCAAUGAUGUAUUGGGCUAACUUAAAAGGUGGUAAGAAGAAUCAUUGUACACGCGUAAUAUUAAAUGACUGUUGGGAAUACAAAAAGAAUGGAGGAAAUAGCUUUGGCUGGAAAUAUGGACAGUGGGUCAAGGAUUAUGGUAUAGAGGAUGAAGCAAUUUGUCCUAACUUGCCAUUAAGUGGUGUGGCAGUGUGGAAUAUUACUGAACCUGUUGUUGAAAUGAGAUUAUUGGAGGCUCGGGAAAAAGCAGAAGAAAUAUGCAGUAAUAGUUAUAGAGUUAAUGUUUUUAUGAGAGAAAACUUUAAUUCUUUUGUGCAGAUUUACACAGAUGGAUCUAAGGAUCCAAUUGAGCAAAAAGUGGGCAUAGGAGUGUAUAUUCCAAAUUUUAAAACAGAAAUAAGCUUGAGGCUAAGUAACAAACUGUCUGUGUACUCUACUGAGCUAACUGCAAUUAUAGUAGGACUACAAUGGGUUGAACAGGUUAGGCCAAACAGGAUAUUAAUUUGCUCAGAUUCUUCAUCAGCUCUUAAAAGUAUAAAGUCUACAAAAAGUGAUAGAGAAAAUCUGUUAGUGGAAAUUUAUACUUUAUUGUACAGAUUGAAAAUGGAAGGUAUAAUUGUAUAUUUUUGUUGGGUGCCAGCACAUAUCGGGAUAAUAGGGAAUGAAAUAGCUGAUAAAUUAGCAAAAGAGGCAUUAAAGAAAAACAUGGUGGAAGUUAAAGUCCCUUUGGGUAGAAGUGAAAUAAAAUCUGAGAUUAAUAGGAAAUUAAUACAAGAAUGGCAACAAAGAUAG